Molecule: ribosomal RNA, 752 nt
Filed under: Protopannaria pezizoides
Lineage: Eukaryota; Fungi; Ascomycota; Lecanoromycetes; Peltigerales; Pannariaceae
Description: mitochondrial SSU rRNA
Rfam family: Bacterial small subunit ribosomal RNA
Source: RNAcentral
CCAGCAACUUGGAGGAAGGUAUAGCAAUAGCUAGUUGUAUUAACAAGUAGUUUUUACAAUAUCGAUUUAAUCGACUAAAAUUCUAGGUAGAUUUUUGAUGAUGACAUUAUCUAUCUAUGUGUCUUGACCAAAUUACGUGCCAGCAGUCGCGGUAAUACGUAGAAGACUAGUGUUAUUCAUCUUUAAUAGGUUUAAAGUGUACCUAGACGGAAUUAUAGCCUAAAUCAGGUACUUCUUUACUAGAGUUAUAUGUAAGGGUGUAUUAAAGUACUGUUGGGUGUAGAGAUGAAAUUCAUUGAUACCAGAUAAUUGGCACAAGUAUAGGCGAAAGCAUCACUUUAUGUAAUAACUGACGUUGAAGGACGAAGGCUUUGUGUCGCGAACAGGAUUAGAUACCCCAGUAGUCUUAGCAGAAAAUUAUGAGUGUCAUAGGUUAGAUUUUUUUGGUCUAUAAAUGAAAGUGUAAGCACUCCACCUCAAGAGUAAUUUGGCAACAUUGGAACUGAAAUCAUUAGACCGUUUCUGAAACCAGUAGUGAAGUAUGUUGUUUAAUUUGAUGAUCCGCAAAGAACCUUACCACAACUUGAAUAAAAAUAAAUUAUUUUUACAAGCGUUGCACGGCUGUCGUCAGUUAAUGUCGUGAGAUAUUGGUUUAUUCCAUUAAAUUAACGUAAACCCGUACUCUAUUUAUAUAUAGAGUUGUUCAUCCGCUAUAAUGGAUGUAUAAGAGGGACUAAGACAAGUCAUCAUGG